This 549-nucleotide ribosomal RNA is filed under the name Salmonella enterica. RNAcentral describes it as "partial 23S ribosomal RNA". It matches the Rfam family "Bacterial large subunit ribosomal RNA", at positions 711 to 1257 of the family's 2925-position model. RNAcentral also lists the same sequence under 3 other names. The record is from RNAcentral. Lineage: Bacteria; Pseudomonadati; Pseudomonadota; Gammaproteobacteria; Enterobacterales; Enterobacteriaceae.
AGACCCGAAACCCGGUGAUCUAGCCAUGGGCAGGUUGAAGGUUGGGUAACACUAACUGGAGGACCGAACCGACUAAUGUUGAAAAAUUAGCGGAUGACCUGUGGCUGGGGGUGAAAGGCCAAUCAAACCGGGAGAUAGCUGGUUCUCCCCGAAAGCUAUUUAGGUAGCGCCUCGUGAAUUCAUCUCCGGGGGUAGAGCACUGUUUCGGCUAGGGGGCCAUCCCGGCUUACCAACCCGAUGCAAACUGCGAAUACCGGAGAAUGUUAUCACGGGAGACACACGGCGGGUGCUAACGUCCGUCGUGAAGAGGGAAACAACCCAGACCGCCAGCUAAGGUCCCAAAGUCAUGGUUAAGUGGGAAACGAUGUGGGAAGGCCCAGACAGCCAGGAUGUUGGCUUAGAAGCAGCCAUCAUUUAAAGAAAGCGUAAUAGCUCACUGGUCGAGUCGGCCUGCGCGGAAGAUGUAACGGGGCUAAACCAUGCACCGAAGCUGCGGCAGCGACACUGUGUGUUGUUGGGUAGGGGAGCGUUCUGUAAGCCUGUGAAGGU